RNAcentral lists this long non-coding RNA (289 nucleotides) under Homo sapiens (human). RNAcentral's name for it is "HSALNT0242056". Lineage: Eukaryota; Metazoa; Chordata; Mammalia; Primates; Hominidae. The record is from RNAcentral.
UUUUUGAGACGGAGUCUCGCUCUGUUGCCAAGCUGGAGUGCAUGGCGCGAUCUCGGCUCACUGCAAGCUCCACCUCCUGGGUUCACGCCAUUCUCCUGCCUCAGCCUCCCGAGUAGCUGGGACUACAGGCGCCUGCCACCAUGUCCAGCUAAUUUUUUUUUUUUUUUUAGAGACGGGGUUUCAUCGUGUUAGCCAGGAUGGUCUCGAUCUCCUGACCUCAUGAUCCACCCGCCUCGGCCUCCCAAAGUGCUGAGAUUACAGGCUGCUGGCAUAAGCCACCGCACCCGGC